AUCCAAGGUGAUUCCCUCUCCAAGGGGCCAGCUAGUGCCUCUCAGGAAAGUAGCAACUUGGAAAAAAAUCUGGCAUGCCUAAACUUUGGGGGAACAUGGGAUGAAUAUUUCCUUUGCCUUCCUUAGGCUGCCUACAUGU
Small nucleolar RNA from Perognathus longimembris pacificus (Pacific pocket mouse), 139 nucleotides. RefSeq annotates it as small nucleolar RNA SNORA67. The transcript has a single exon. Lineage: Eukaryota; Metazoa; Chordata; Mammalia; Rodentia; Heteromyidae. The record is from RefSeq and is a predicted model, not a curated record.